GAUAUGCCCAAAGGUACGGAAUAGCCUCUGGAAACGGAGAGUAAUACCGUAUGUGCCCUUCGGGGGAAAGAUUUAUCGCCUUUGGAUUAGCCCGCGUUAGAUUAGGUAGUUGGUGGGGUAAUGGCCUACCAAGCCUACGAUCUAUAGCUGGUUUUAGAGGAUGAUCAGCAACACUGGGACUGAGACACGGCCCAGACUCCUACGGGAGGCAGCAGUGGGGAAUCUUGGACAAUGGGGGCAACCCUGAUCCAGCCAUGCCGCGUGAGUGAUGAAGGCCUUAGGGUCGUAAAGCUCUUUCGCCUGUGAAGAUAAUGACGGUAGCAGGUAAAGAAACCCCGGCUAACUCCGUGCCAGCAGCCGCGGUAAUACGGAGGGGGUUAGCGUUGUUCGGAAUUACUGGGCGUAAAGCGCACGUAGGCGGAUCGGAAAGUUGGGGGUGAAAUCCCGGNGCUCAACCCCGGAACUGCCUCCAAAAUUAUCGGUCUUNAGUUCAAGAGAGGUGAGUGGAAAUCCGGAGUGNAGAGGUGUAAAUUCUUANAUAUUCAGGAUUAACACCGGAGGCGAAGGCUNCUCGCCUGGCUCCAUGCUGANACU
This 594-nucleotide ribosomal RNA is filed under the name Ruegeria arenilitoris. RNAcentral describes it as "bacterial SSU rRNA". It matches the Rfam family "Bacterial small subunit ribosomal RNA", at positions 123 to 747 of the family's 1533-position model. RNAcentral also lists the same sequence under 1 other name. Lineage: Bacteria; Pseudomonadati; Pseudomonadota; Alphaproteobacteria; Rhodobacterales; Roseobacteraceae. The record is from RNAcentral.